GAGCUCGCUUCGGCAGCACAUAUACUAAAAAUUGGAAUGAUACAGAGAAGAUUAGCAUGGCCCCUGUGCAAGGAUGACACACAAGUAUUCUUUUUGUUUUUAAUUUAA
This 108-nucleotide small nuclear RNA is filed under the name Aotus nancymaae (Ma's night monkey). Lineage: Eukaryota; Metazoa; Chordata; Mammalia; Primates; Aotidae. The record is from RNAcentral.